CUACACAUGCAAGUCGAGCGGAACGACACUAACGAUCGCUUCGGGUGCGUUAAUGGGCGUCGAGCGGCGGACGGGUGAGUAAUGCCUAGGAAAUUGCCUUGAUGUGGGGGAUAACCAUUGGAAACGAUGGCUAAUACCGCAUAAUGCCUACGGGCCAAAGAGGGGGAUCUUCGGACCUCUCGCGUCAAGAUAUGCCUAGGUGGGAUUAGCUAGUUGGUGAGGUAAUGGCUCACCAAGGCGACGAUCCCUAGCUGGUCUGAGAGGAUGAUCAGCCACACUGGAACUGAGACACGGUCCAGACUCCUACGGGAGGCAGCA
RNAcentral lists this ribosomal RNA (318 nucleotides) under uncultured Vibrio sp. RNAcentral describes it as "bacterial SSU rRNA". It matches the Rfam family "Bacterial small subunit ribosomal RNA", at positions 50 to 353 of the family's 1533-position model. The record is from RNAcentral. Lineage: Bacteria; Pseudomonadati; Pseudomonadota; Gammaproteobacteria; Vibrionales; Vibrionaceae.